Molecule: unclassified non-coding RNA, 237 nt
Filed under: fungal sp.
Lineage: Eukaryota; Fungi
Description: partial contains small subunit ribosomal RNA, internal transcribed spacer 1, and 5.8S ribosomal RNA
Rfam family: Eukaryotic small subunit ribosomal RNA (bases 1-47)
Source: RNAcentral
AAAGUCGUAACAAGGUCUCCGUUGGUGAACCAGCGGAGGGAUCAUUACAGAGUUGCAAAACUCCCAACACCUAUGUGGACUAGCCUGCGAAUUGCUUCGGCGAGGCGGCUCCCCUGUGGACGCCAGCGCCUUAGAACGGUGCAGCCCGCCGGAGACAACCAAACUCUUGCAUCUUUUGGCAUCUCUGAGUACUAUACAAAUAAGUUAAAACUUUCAACAACGGAUCUCUUGGUUCUG